CAGUCGCCGCGGUAAAACGUAGGUGGCAAGCGUUGUCCGGAAUUAUUGGGCGUAAAGGGCUCGCAGGCGGUUUCUUAAGUCUGAUGCGAAAGCCCCCGGCUCAACCGGGGAGGGUCAUUGGAAACUGGGAAACUUGAGUGCAGAAGAGGAGAGUGGAAUUCCACGUGUAGCGGUGAAAUGCGUAGAGAUGUGGAGGAACACCAGUGGCGAAGGCGACUCUCUGGUCUGUAACUGACGCUGAGGAGCGAAAGCGUGGGGAGCGAACAGGAUUAGAUACCCGAGUAGUCCCUGUCUCUUAUAU
This 301-nucleotide ribosomal RNA is filed under the name uncultured bacterium. RNAcentral describes it as "partial 16S ribosomal RNA". It matches the Rfam family "Bacterial small subunit ribosomal RNA", at positions 509 to 809 of the family's 1533-position model. The record is from RNAcentral.